AUUCCGAAAGGGAUGCUAAUACCGCAUACGCCCUACGGGGGAAAGCAGGGGAUCUUCGGACCUUGCGCUAAUAGAUGAGCCUAAGUCGGAUUAGCUAGUUGGUGGGGUAAAGGCCUACCAAGGCGACGAUCUGUAGCGGGUCUGAGAGGAUGAUCCGCCACACUGGGACUGAGACACGGCCCAGAUUCCUACGGGAGGCAGCAGUGGGGAAUAUUGGACAAUGGGGGGAACCCUGAUCCAGCCAUGCCGCGUGUGUGAAGAAGGCCUUUUGGUUGUAAAGCACUUUGAGCGAGGAGGAGGAGCUCUAGGAUAAUACCCUAGAUGCGUGGACGUUACUCGCAGAAUAAGCACCGGCUAACUCUGUGCCAGCAGCCGCGGUAAUACAGAGGGUGCGAGCGUUAAUCGGAUUUACUGGGCGUAAAGCGCGCGUAGGUGGCUAAUUAAGUCAAAUGUGAAAUCCCCGAGCUUAACUUGGGAAUUGCAUUCGAUACUGGUUAGCUAGAGUAUGGGAGAGGAUGGUAGAAUUCCAGGUGUAGCGGUGAAAUGCGUAGAGAUCUGGAGGAAUACCGAUGGCGAAGGCAGCCAUCUGGCCUAUUACUGACACUGAGGUGCGAAAGCAUGGGGAGCAAACAGGAUUAGAUACCCUGGUAGUCCAUGCCGUAAACGAUGUCUACUAGCCGUUGGGGCCUUUGAGGCUUUAGUGGCGCAGCUAACGCGAUAAGUAGACCGCCUGGGGAGUACGGUCGCAAGACUAAAACUCAAAUGAAUUGACGGGGGCCCGCACAAGCGGUGGAGCAUGUGGUUUAAUUCGAUGCAACGCGAAGAACCUUACCUGGCCUUGACAUUCAGAGAACUUUCCAGAGAUGGAUUGGUGCCUUCGGGAACUCUGAUACAGGUGCUGCAUGGCUGUCGUCAGCUCGUGUCGUGAGAUGUUGGGUUAAGUCCCGCAACGAGCGCAACCCUUUUCCUUACUUGCCAGCAUUUCGGAUGGGAACUUUAAGGAUACUGCCAGUGACAAACUGGAGGAAGGCGGGGACGACGUCAAGUCAUCAUGGCCCUUACGGCCAGGGCUACACACGUGCUACAAUGGUCGGUACAAAGGGUUGCUACACAGCGAUGUGAUGCUAAUCUCAAAAAGCCGAUCGUAGUCCGGAUUGGAGUCUGCAACUCGACUCCAUGAAGUCGGAAUCGCUAGUAAUCGCGGAUCAGAAUGCCGCGGUGAAUACGUUCCCGGGCCUUGUACACACCG
This 1249-nucleotide ribosomal RNA is filed under the name Acinetobacter indicus. RNAcentral describes it as "bacterial SSU rRNA". It matches the Rfam family "Bacterial small subunit ribosomal RNA", at positions 148 to 1392 of the family's 1533-position model. Lineage: Bacteria; Pseudomonadati; Pseudomonadota; Gammaproteobacteria; Moraxellales; Moraxellaceae. The record is from RNAcentral.